CUUGCUAUUUUUAUGACUAGCGGCGAACGGACUGACUAACGCGUGGGAGAUCUGCCGAGUAUCGGGCGACAACGUUUGGAAACGAACGCUAAUACCGCCAACAUUGAGAAUCGCAAGAUUCUUAUUUAAAACAAACAAUUGCUUCACUACUUGAUGAUCCCGCGUUGUAUUAGCUAGUUGACUACUGUAAAGGACUACCUGGGCGAUGAUACAUAGCCGACCUGAGAGGGUGAUCGGACACACUGGGACUGACACACUGCCCAGACUCCUACGGGAGGCACCAGUAGGGAAUCUUCGGCAAUGGGGGCAACCCUGACCGAGCGACGCCGCUCGAGUGAAGAAUGUUUUCGGAUCCUAAAACUCUGUUGUUACAGCAGACCGUUAACUACAGUGUAAAAUUACUUAAAUGACCGUCUCUAAC
This 421-nucleotide ribosomal RNA is filed under the name bacterium Urfm107. RNAcentral describes it as "bacterial SSU rRNA". It matches the Rfam family "Bacterial small subunit ribosomal RNA", at positions 71 to 483 of the family's 1533-position model. The record is from RNAcentral.